AAAACACAGUUCCUUAAUCCCGUUUUUCGUGCUUCCAUACCAAUUGUUUGAAGUGGAAUCUCAUUGUUUUGUGGUAUUCUGCUAUGCAAAUGUGUUCUUGUACAUUAGCUGGAGCGCUUAUAAUUGAAUAGGAUUGAAGAGUUGCGAAAUACCCUUAGCUAGCUGUGUCUAGCUGCCUGCAUUUAAAUUAAUUUAUCUGUCAAAAUGAUGCUAAUCAAGAGGAAUGUUGAUACUGAAAAUGCUUUUCAAUCCAUCUUUAUUGUCUCACAAUUGCUCACACAAGGAAGCGUAGUUUUAGUUUAAGAUGUUAUGAUGGAUGUCGGAACAAGAAAUGGCUUAACUUAUUCUUGUGGUUCAAAGAGUUGAUCACAAAAAGACAUUUCAAUUAACAGACACGUUAUGCAAAGUUUGAACAUUUCCCGACCGAUGCAGAUCCCCUUUUGAGAAAAACAUUUUUCCAGUAAACAAUAAUACGUUCCUUGAAUAAUUUCAAACAGAAAUCAAUGGCAUUUCAGAAGCAGCAAGAGUGUGAUCAAAUGAAAAUAUGAAGUUAA
This 554-nucleotide unclassified non-coding RNA is filed under the name Hevea brasiliensis (rubber tree). Lineage: Eukaryota; Viridiplantae; Streptophyta; Magnoliopsida; Malpighiales; Euphorbiaceae. The record is from RNAcentral.